RNAcentral lists this ribosomal RNA (350 nucleotides) under uncultured bacterium. RNAcentral describes it as "bacterial SSU rRNA". It matches the Rfam family "Bacterial small subunit ribosomal RNA", at positions 917 to 1270 of the family's 1533-position model. The record is from RNAcentral.
GGGUCCGCACAAGCGGUGGAGCAUGUGGUUUAAUUCGAUGAUACGCGAGGAACCUUACCUGGGCUCGAACACUAUUAGACGAUACCUGAAAGGGUAUUUCUCUUCGGAGCUGGUAGUGAGGUGCUGCAUGGUUGUCGUCAGCUCGUGCCGUGAGUGUUGGGUUAAGUCCCGCAACGAGCGCAACCCCCUAUCUUCAGUUGCCAACAGUUAGGCUGGGGACUCUGGAGAGACUGCCUCCGUAAGGAGUGAGGAAGGAAGGGACGACGUCAAAUCAUCAUGGCCUUAUGCCAGGGCUACACACGUGCUACAAUGGUAGGUACAGAGGGAAGCUACCCCGUAAGGGGAUGCGA